UUCCUCUAGCACAGAGAAUUCUGAGCAGUAGGAAACACUGUGAUGAGAAGCAAUGCUCUACUGCUCCCCUAGAAAUGUUCAAAAGUAGACCCAUUUUUGAGAAUUAAAAUUGCAGUUUGCCUAUUUUUAAGAUUAUUAUUCUUCUGGUUAACAACUGCAUAUAGCACUUUAGUUAAAAGUGAGUAACUAUAGAGGGUUAAGAUAGAAACUGGACCAUGCAUCAGAGGUUCUUCAAGUGGAGAAGGCACUUCCAAAGGCCUUGGGGACCUCCACUGAAACCUCUGUGGCCACUAGAAUAACGUGUUUUGUUAUUAAAUCCACCUUUUAUUAAAGUAGCCACCCAGCUCAACCGUUGCUUCAUUUCUGAAUUGGCAAGUUUCCUGAAGAACAGGACAGGUGUAUAAUACCUGUUGCUUUAAUAAAACAACUGCAAACACUAAUAUCUAUGAAAGUGUCUGCUGAGGAGCAAAGCUUUUGUGCCAGAAAAAAGUUGAAGAAAAAUAGGACAUAGUACUCUUGCUUUGUCAUAGAUCCUGGGCUGCAAAUUUGAAACUGCAAUACUGAAGUUGAUUCUGAAGUUCAGGUACAUAAUUUUUUCUCUGAUGAAGAACUCUAAUGUGAAAUAAAUGGUCUUGGAUUAUCAAAAUCUGUUCCUCAUGCAUUGCAUUGAUCCCAUUUUCAUUAUUGGUAGUUUAUGCAUUUCUGCCCCAAGCUGCUCAAAAAAGUGUUACAUGCACACUGUUGAAGAGUAAGAACCAGUUUACACAAAUGGUUCUCCCUUAGUUACACAUCAAGACUUGAGCAUCUUCUCCAUUUUCUUAUGCAACCUUAAACAGGCUGAUAAACCUUCAUGUAAUAUGAAUGCAUUUGAACUUUUUUGGGGGGUGGAGGAAGGUCUUAAAUCUCAAGAUAUCUGAAAAAUCGUGAGACUAAGAACAUGAAUUUUUAAAGUUAAUUUUAUUUAAAUGGAUUUCAGAAGCUACCUUGGGACCUUGAAAAAUUCCAUAACUUCAUUCCAUAAAUUCGUGCAAAACAAUGAGAUUAAAUGUUUUUAAUGUAUCAUCAUAAUCUGUCUGUGCUUUAUUUGCUGUUCUGUGAACCACUCACUGUGACAGGUAGAAAAUCUUGUGACUUUUCACUGCAGAUGACCUAUGGUUCCAAGUUCUACCUUGAGAAAAUUUCUAAUAGAUAUUAAUAAAAUUAAAAAACUUUAAGGUAAGCUAUAGAGGACACAAAGAAGUGCUACACAAAGGCCAUAAAUUGAGUCCACAGGAAUUAGCUCAGUGGCUGUAAUGUGUCUCCCAUAGAAGACUGGCAGUAUUGGCUGUUCAUCAGGGACUGCCAAAGAUGGUGCAAAGAUGAAGGUGGGACCACGCUACCUGCAGCAAGGAGGGCAGCUGCGUUGUCAGCUUGCAGGUAAAUCCCUGCAGGGUGACGUGGAACCGCAGCCUUGUAUGUGUAGCUGCUUCAUGGUUUUCCACAUCCAGCUUAGGUAUGUACUGCUGAAAAUAUGAACUUUGUGCUGUCUGUGGAGAAACCUGUUUAUCUGCAUGGAAUAUCAGCUUUGAAUGAUUUAAUGCAUAAAUGAAAAUGUAAGACAUUCAAGUCUGUGUAUUGUCAUGACAGAGAGAGUCUUACCUUGUACUGCAGAUAAGUAUUACUGCAACAGAGAACUACACUUCAGGAAAUCUGAAGAUACAGUGACAGGCUUAUUAUAACUGAUGUGUGUAUAUGCUUUUAUGCUUUUGAUCACAUAGAUUUUGUUAAAGUGGACCAAUAUAAGCCAAAUUCAUAAGACAUUAACCAGUAUGACAGGUCUUUUCUUUUAAGUAAGUUUUGCACAUGGAGAACUGCAGCGCUGAACUUAAAACCAGCCAGGAAAGGUAAGGCAAAUCUAUUUAGGGAUGUAAAUUCAGCUUCCAAUAAAUUAAAGUGCAUUAAACCACCUUUGUGUGGUUUAGUUCCUUCAGGGGUAGAGCAGCUGAAGACUUGCUCAAGGACUGAAUUCACUUCUUGUCAUUGAUUGCUCUUAAAUUUCAUGAACUUUAGACAAACCCUGAGAUGAGAUAACAAAGGUUCAAAUGUGUGUCUAGUCUAUUCUGAUUUGACACAUUCAAGGGAAGAGGAGAAAUUCUUGCCAAAUGACUUGCCUAGGUAUGGUUUUAAAGUAUAUGACUCAGGUAUACCUUCAGUAUACUGAAGUAAGGCCUCCUGCUGCAAUAGCUGAAACUCCUAGCAGCAAUGGCACUUGCCUGAAGUAUAUUCCUCUAUCCUGGGACCAAUACUCAAUGUGGAAACCAUGGACAAAUCAGGGAAGAUACUGAAGUGCUUCCAAAGUAAUUAAAUGUAUUUAUCAAUAUUUUAUUAAUAUUUAGUUAUAUAUUAGCCUGGAGAAGAGAAGGCUUGGCGGAUCUUAUCAAUGUGUAUAAGUACUUGAUAGGAGGGAAUAAAGAAGCCAGACUCUUCUUAGUGGUGCCCAAUGACAGGCCAAGAAACAAUGGGCACAGACUGAAACGCAGGAAAUGCCAUUUAAACAUAAGAUGAAACUGUGUUUCUGUGAGAGCGGUCACUGGAACAGGUUGCCCAGAGAGGUUGUGAAGUCUCCAUCCUUGGAGAUAUUCAAAACCCAACUGGGGUGUUGGCCCUGACCAACCUGCUGUAGGUGACCCUGCUGUGAGCAGGGUGUUGGACUAGGCGAUCUCCCGAGGUCCCUGCCAGCCUCAGUGAUUCUGUGAAUUUGUGUAAGAGGAUGUUGUUAGUAAUCUGUUAAUGAAGAGAUAUGAACAAAAUUCCAAUCUAAAUUUCCUCUCCAGUCAUCUUAUUUACAGAACUAAAUUCAUUAAGCUGGUCUUUGUCAUUGAAUUAUCCUUUCUGUAAUACAGUGAAAGGGAUGGUUCAAAUGCAGGUAGUCCUUUUGAAUAACAACGGGAAAUUCAAAUGUUAUGCCUGAAAAUUCUUCCAGAAUUCAGGUGCUGAAAGAGUAGUCAGUAAUCUAGAAGCUGAUUUUAUCUUUGGUCCACCAGAAACUUUCUCUCCAGAUCUUUGCUAAUUUUUCAUUUUGGAUGAUUUAUGAUAUACUCCUUUUAACAAUACUUUCUGUCAUCUUUUUUUCCCCCUUGCUGAUUCCAGAAUGCUGGAAUAUGUUAAAAAGUGAAUUUAACCAUAAAUGACUUCAGCAUUUCCAGUAGCCUUAGCAUUUUGCCCAAACUGACUUGUUUGACAUCUCUGUUCCAAUGUGCUGAAUUUGCUUUCUUGCUAAAUAAUCCAGAUGUUCAACAGCAGUUUAAGAAGAGCUGUAUCCACUUAAUGGAAGCAUGCAAAGAUCCAGAACACUGGAAACCAGCAGAACUCCUGAUUUUAUCUACUGUCCAUAUUUAUUCCUGUUCAUUAGUGUAUAUGCCUUCCCUCCCACCCCAGGUGCCACCAUGCAGAUGGCAUUCCCAGCAAAUCUGUUCAGAUUCACUGCGUUCUUGUCUGGAAGUGUUAACAGAUGACUGGGAAAGGGGAGGAAGAGGAGAACUAGCAUUACAUUUUUCAGGUCAAGUUCUGCCCUGAAUUCUGCCUGGUCAUCUCUGAGAGGUAUCAUAAGGAAACCAAAGUAAUAUUGCAUAUACCCUCCAGUUAAGACAGCUAUCAGCAACGGCGGCAGCUGAGGGCUGGUGCUCCCUCCAGCAGGCGGGAACUGUCCCCUGAACUGCCGCUGCGAAAUUUCAUCAAGUCCUCUGGCAGUGCCCUUUGCAUUUUACACCUGCUUUCCUACUGCCUUCAAAGGACUUCCGGAGCAGUUCUCCAGCAGCAUAGUCCAGAGCACCUGCAAUAUUUCGUAGUCACGUUUUUUGAAAUGAAAUCGAAUGCAGUGAGCCAGUGUGUUCAGCUGAAGCUCAGAUAGAAGGGAAAACAUGUAAUGCACAAGAAAGCAAGGUGACCCAGGGUAAGUACAUACUGUGGUAGCAAAAUGGAAACUGCUGCUGAGACAUCUGGUUACUGCUCCACUAAUGACACCAUUCGUGAGAAAGCAGAGCGAUAUGCCAGAAGGAAGAUGAAAAAAGAAGAAAAAGAAAAACUUCAAAACCCAUGAAACCGCUCCCAUCACCUGAAGCUCAGACCACACACCUGAAAGGGAGUAACCCGCAUCCAGCCCCAGUGCAGAAUACGUAUGCCCUUGCUUCCCUUUCAGCUCCGCCAUUUCGCAGCUGUCUUAUAUGAAGUGUACCUAAGAGGGGGAACUGCUCGCUUGUUUCCUGUUUUUUUAGUAAUUACAGUAACCUCUGGUAUUCAAAACCAUCAUGAGCUGCAGUGUCUCCUCGUAGCUCUGGCGUUACUGCGAUUUCUCUUUUGGUUGGUGCAACGUUUCCUUCGCUUCCCAGUUGCGGCUGAGGUGCUCCCACACGGCCCCCUGAAACAGCCACCCCACCACAGCUGUACGGGCAGCGGAUCUGCGAGCGAAUCUGUGACCUGCUGUGUCGUUUCAGUAGUCACGUAUGUGUACCGUCUGCCCUGUCUUUAGUUAAUCCGCAAGUCAAGAGCUAAUUGCAUACAACGCUCCGCUGUCAUCUGCGCAGGUUAAGACAUGCCCCGAAACCCCUGGUUUUAAGGAGUUACUAGAAAGACAAGAAAAUCUUCCCAAAUCAUAGAAUCGCUGUAAAUAUUAAACAACUAACUCGGAACAGGAACAAAUUGCUAACGGCCCUGUAUUGUAAGCACUAUUGUUUAAAGCCACUUCCAUCUCUCACUGACCCGAUGGAGGAGCAGCAGCAGCCAGCACUGGGGCAGGGGCAGCGGGACGGAAGGCUGCAGCGAGGGCGACACAGGAGCCUGCAUGACCUGCCACAGCCAUCCAUACCUGCAGUGCCUUCUCUUGUCCUUGUAUUGCUAUGGCUCCCUUUGCAAGGAGAAAUUGCAAUUUAGAAUAUCCUUCUGUUGUACACACAGUGCAACGUAUAUUUUUUUCUCUUCCAUGCUUUAUUAUAUGUUCUGCCAUCACUCCUUUGCCUAAAAAAACCCCUUUAAUUCUCUUCACUUCUUAAAACAGGUUAAUCUCCCUGAUGUUAGGGAAUGGAGAUAUUUAAUUAGGGGCUCUAAAGGAUUUCUGUAACUUGAGCAUGUAAAUAAAUGGAAAUAGUAUCAUAAUGUGGAGAAGACCAAAGACUUUUUGUGUAUUCCCAUACUAACAGAUCUUCUUUGAUGCAACAACAGAGCUGUUUUACCUUGUGUCAAAGUGUCCAGAAAUCUAAUGGAAAGGAAAUAAACUGAGAGAAAAUGUCUGACACAGAUCUCUCUCCAUUUUACCUAGAAAAUAUUUGCUGGAUACUUUUUCGUAUAGAUGCUAAACUGAUUUUUAUUUUAGAUGAGCUUGUUAACAAGGCGUCAAGAUUCUCAUAGAUAUAUAAAUUUUCUUACCUUAGAAAAUUUUCAUUGGUUUUCAUUUUAAAAUGACACCAGAAUGUACGGCAUAAGAGGAAAAAAAUAUAUUAAGAGAACAAUGCAAGAAUUUCCUGUAUGAAUAACUGUUGAAGGUGACUCUCUGCUCUUCACUGAAGCUCCUCAAGCUAUUUUAAAUAGUUUAACAACUGUUUUCUAUAUAGAAACUGUAUUAAUAACAAAAUUAUACUAUUUGAAAGAACAUCUUGUCAAACAAGAAUGCCAUAUUUAUGAUUUACCUUGAAUACCUACCGUCCUUGCACGCAGCAAUUGUAUUUUAUUUUAUAUUUGUUCUUGCAAUGCUUUCAUCAGCCCUAUGCUUCUGUGUAUCCUCCAGCAGUAUAUUAAGCAAUGUGAUUGAUAUCUGUCAUGAGUAGUUUAAUGCCUUCUUAAUUAGCCUAACACCUCUAUCAGAUUAAAAUCAGUAGUACAAUAUUACCAUGAACUGUAUGCUUUAAUUUCUGUGACACAUUUCUCUUUGUAAGGUACUUUGCAAAUCCCUUUCCUUUAGCAACACAGUAAGUCUAUCACUGUCCAAAGAGAAGAGACUAAUGAGACUAAUGACGAAGCUUUGUCGCAGUUUGACAGAUACUGCUACUAACUACAACCAGCAAAACAGAAAGAGGGGAAAGAAUUGCUUUAAAAUCAAUCUUGUCAUGUCAGAAUGAUCAGUUGGUUUCACCCUGCUGCAGUGAAGGCCUGCAGGUUUCCUAUGUCUGAACUUGUCUCAAAUACUUCUCAAAAGGUAAUGAAUUAUGGUCAAGGGAAAUAAUCUCUUCUGACAGGAAUAUCAACUCAUUUACUUUUCUAAGCCACUAUUUGCCUAAGUUGCAUUUAUUUAAGUCAGAGAUCUCAGGAUUAUUUGUAAAUUCAAAGCCUUCCAAACUCAGCAUAAAAAAAAAAAAGAAUGUCAAGGCUUCUUCCUCCUUUGAUGAAAGUCAUUAUGUUAACAUUGAAAAAUGUGAAGAACAUACCUGCUUAGUAUACUAGUCGUUAGACCUCAGCUAUCAAAUCCACAGGGACUCCCUAAACAGAAUAUAACAAAUUAAAUCGUUAUUAAUAAUGCACCAAAAAGUUAAUAUGCUCAUCUUAAUCACAUCAACAUCAAAGAAGGUAUUACAGCAACAGUCAAGGAGGGCACACUAAGUAAAACUAUGUUUUAAUAACUUAAUAAAUCUUGAAUAUAAGCAUAUUGCCAUCAAAGAUAAAACUGACACAUAGAUGUAUUUUUCAAGAAUUCUAUAAAGCUGCAGACCCUAACAGAUGACACUUUUUUUGAAUAAUUUUUCUAAUCCCAGCACUCAUCUUUUAUACAAAAUAAGUAACUAUGAUCCAAAAAACCCCAAAUAAAUUCUAUCAUGUGAGCUUUAAAACAUGAAUCUUUCUCCCUCCAAAACAUCCCUCAAACACCUAGUUCGUCUUUCUGAUGAAUGGUGAAGCUCCUGCUAGUAAGUUUAACAAUGCAGAAGCCUUCUACUCUCUGUAAUUAUGCAACUAAAAGCAUUUCAUAAAUUUCUGGCAUCCAUGACAAAAUCAGGAAAUUUAAACAGCAAUGUUUUUCUUAAGAAUUUAAAGUUUCCAAAUUCCUAGUUCACUUGCAAUCUAAAAUUGUUGAGAUGCUUUUGAAAGUCUCAAUGUCUUUUAAAACUUAAUAGGUAUGUAUUCCUCAUUUAAAAAUGUAUUGCCCUUAAAGCAGAAUCUUCACAACCAGGUAGUAUCAAAAUUUUUUUUUCAUUAUGCACAACUUUAGAAGUAUUGAUGUAAUAAUCCUAAUUACUUUGAAACAGUUAUAUAAAGAGGAUAUCCAAUGCUACUUUAAAAAUACAUGCUUGAUAAAAUUCUCAAGCCUUUUGUUGUUAUGUCAGCUUUAAAAAUCAGUAAAAACAACUAAAAAGUUGCAAACAACAGAGGAGAGGGAUAUAGGUAUGCAUAUUAGCUGACUGCGCAAUUAUUAAGUUGCCAGUGGGAUACAACGAUGAAAAAACCCCCUGCAAUCUAAGGAUGAACCAGUUAAGGUGUUUCUAACAGAAAACAAGAAACUACCUGUGUUGCUGUUUAAGGCACCUGAGAAAUCUCACACCGUUUUUUUUCCAUCAUGUUUGUGGAAGAUGAAACAGGUAAAGAAAAGAGCUGCUGAGAUUAUCAGAGAGAAGUCAUUCUAAGUGCAAGGCUGCAAAAUUUUUACUUCUUUAGUCUAGUAGAAACAAAAGCUGAUACAGGAAACAAUUAUUGUAUAAAAACACAAUAGGGUGGUAAACAGUAGGCAGGGAAAGGAGCUGUUUACUCUAACGGACAAUGUUGGCACAAGAACAAAUGGGUAUAAUUUGUCCAUGAAUAAAUUUUAGGCUGGAAAUGAGAAGGUUUAUGGCCAUAAAGACAGUGAGGUUCUAGAGUAGUUUUGUAAUACAAAUAGUGGGGACAAAAACCCAACAACUAAAGCUAUUUAAUAAUGAUGAUUGUUAAGUGGAAGAUGCUACAGGCAUAGUUGCCCAUAUAAGAAAAAAAACUGCAUUCUGAUGAUCCAGGAGGUAGUUUCUAGAGUUAUGUUUUGCUGUUUUCUGAAAGCAGAGGUAAAAAAAGUGAAAUUAAAUUAUAUUUAUGCAUACAGUGUCAGAAAUACUGCUCAGGCAAAUGCCAUCCAUAUGUAAAUGAUCUCUAUAACUAAGUUUGUGCUUUGCAACAGGAAAACAAUUUAACUUGAUAAAUAGGUAUCACAUUGUUCUUUGGUGGUUAGAAGCUAAUUCCUUUUAAUGGAAAGAUGCAAUUUGUCACAUGCUAAUUUCCUUGCUUCUUUACAGUGUACCUUUCUACUAUUUUUAUUUUGCCUCAUCUUCUUUCAGUCUCUUAAGUUCUAGAAAACUGUUUCGUCAGCAUAUGUGGACAGCAAUGGGAGACAGCUGGAAAAUAAUGCCUGCCUAUUUAUUUAUACCAAUCAAGCCAAGUUUGGCUACUCAGUUUUUCAGAUGAGAAUUUGCUGUUAGUCUAAAAUAGUGUUAGGGGAAAGAAACACUAUUAUGAUCACUAUAGAAAAAUGGAAUCUGAGUAUCAGAAAGAAAGAAGGAGCCAUAAAACAGUAUUUGAGUUAGAAAAAUAAGUUAAAAUUCAGGAAGAGUGUCCCCCCCCCCCCAAAAAAAAAAGGAAAAAUGUUGAGAAACUAUUUCCACAAACACUGGAAGAAUUUGCUGACAUUGGAGUUAUGGGUUUAGCCUAGACACCUAACAUUAAAGCAGUGCUUAAGGUUUUCUUGUGCAGCCUCUGAUGCCCAUAGUUAAUAGUCUCACUGUUAAUACCUAAUAAAUAUGGUUCACCCAACACUGUAAUGGCCCUUGAAAUUCAAAACUGUGCUAUAUCACUGUGCCAUUUGAGGAAUUUCAGUUGUUUAAAAACUAGGCUACAUUCUCUCAUCAGCAAAGCCAAGGAGCAGAAAGAAGAAUAAAACAUUGCAAAGAUAAAAUAAAGUUGUUCCCCUGUCAGUAUCAAAAUAUAAACAAGUGACAAAACCCUUUUGAAAACAAAAUUAAAGGAUUGCAUAUGUGUAUUUUAAAGUCAUGGUAACUAUUCUUAUUUGCAAGUGUAUGUGUACAUGUAUGUAUAUAAUUAUAAAUGUAUUUUCAUCACCAAUUAGUUAUGGUUUAUAUUCUUCUUGUAAGUCCACUUACAAAAGAUGUAUUAUGAAAGAAACUGCCUCAUGUGAAUAAUUGUUAACAAAAACUGUAUUAUCAACUGCAGUAUGCGUAACUAUUAGCUUAUAGUUGAUACUUGUUCAUCAAAUAUUAUGAAUAUAUGUCAAAGUGUACUAUGAUAAUAUGUCAAAAUGCACACUGGUAAGUGUACUUGAACAGAUACUGGAGGAAUUUGGUUGCACCAUUUAGAGGAAAAGCGCAUGUACUAACUCCUGACCCUGCUAAGAGAGGAGGAGCGCAGCUAUGUGGGCUGGCUGUAAGAGGCCUCACUCUAUCUGUUGAAAAAAUAGUAACAGUCCUAAUGGUCACAGAACCAAACUAGAGAAAUAUAGAUAUACAAGCAAAAAAAAUGUGCAUGCAUAUACACACGAUCAUUUUUUAAUGAAAAUUUGAUUAAUGAUACAACUUCUUUUGGAAAAUUUUCUGUAAUGGUUUAUUUUUGCAUAUCUAUUCGUUGAAAUGGCCUGCUUCUUUGCCAAAGAUUUGAGUGUGUAUCUUUUCUCCAGCAAUCAAGGGCAAAAGUAUAUAUUUGGAAAAGAAUGGGCUUUACUGAGAGCUGUAGAGUAGAUUUCAGUAUGAGCUGUCUGAAAUAAAGCAAUAAUAGCAAUUUCCAUAUUUUCAUUUUUACUGUUGACCAAAGCCAAACUAUGCAAAGAUGCAGUAAAAAUAAUGCAAAAUAACUGGAAGUAUGAAACUCAAUUUUCUGUUCACUGUAAUUGAGCUUUGUAUGAAACUGCUUUUUCUCAUCUUCCUUUUUAACCCCUUCUUACUCAUAGUUACUAGCUAUAGCCAAUAGCGGAGUGAAUAGGUUUUGCAACUAACAGCUAACUGAAACUACAGGCCUGAAGACCUCAAUAUGCUUUUAAGAAUAAAAUGAGUUCAAACAAUUAAUACAGCAACUUCAAAUUCUUUGUGUAUAAGGUUACCACUCAGAUAUUAGCCAUGACCCAUCUGUAAAGAUGCAGAAAAACAGUAAAUGGUGUAUGGUAUUAUUUAGACAGUUGGUGACAGGUACUUCUAGAAUGCUGUAGAGGACCGGUUCUCUACAUGCGGUUUUGUCUCAACAUUGCUGCCGCUGCUGCUGCAAAGCCGCUGCUGCCAAGGCGCAUUGGGCAGUGCCGCGCCGACACCCCCGGGAGCCGUCCGCGAGGUAAACAAGGUGCACGAGGUAAAAAGGGCAGAAGGUCAUCUCUAGGGCAGGAACUGCACGUACUCAUUUGCCAUCUGCGCAUGAGCAGGAGACCCCCAGAUGCCCCAGCCCGUUUCUGGAAGGUUCCGAGAGGGCGGACUGCGCAUGACAGUUAAUCUGCAUGGGAAGCGAGGAAGCACCUCCCGGAGGUGGGGCAAGAACCUGUAAAAACUGCAGACUGCGUGAAUAGAGGGGGGGAUUUGUUUGCGACGAGUGAGGAACUUGAACGGAGUCAGCGGAACCAGACGGGAGCUUCCCGCCGCUGGCCCCCCCCCCCGCCACCGAGACUCCCAAGAGAAGAGGACCAACGGGACGCCUCUGGAUCCACGGGUCAGAGGAGCAGCCAGUUUUUUACUGUUGUUCCACUGGAGGCACAGUUUUUGAGUGAACGUAGGAGGCAGAAGAAACAGAAAUGGCGCUCUACAAAAAUCUAACAUAGAAGAACUUGAUUUGAGGAACUGAAUAAUUCUUGAUUGUUCACAACUGAACGCACCAAACAACAUUUGCUGUCUAUCACUUCACCAUAACUCCCUCAUGGAAGGAGGAAUUCAGAUAAAGAAAAGAUUUUAUUUCUUCUCAUGUUAUGUAGUCUAAAGGCAAUAAAAGCAUUGUCUCUAUUGGUAUAGGAACUGGGGAACCCAUUACCUUCACUGCAACUCCCAUUUUUGAAUUCAUUUUGCCCUCUCUGUUGGUCAGAAAAAAAAUCAAGUUUCAGAAUUUUGGUUACAUCAUAGUUACUCAGAUAAAAGCUACAGAGCAGGUGUACCUAUAUAAUUCAUAAACAAACUGAAAUGAUACUGUAAAAUGCAAUGGAGACACUUCUAAAGCCAAAGGUGUCUUUUAAAGUAUCUGUAUUAUGUAAACUGAAAUGAAAAAGUUGUUUACCUCUAUGACAUCCUGUGGCUAUCACAUGGUAUGAAAAAAGGGGUAAGCUGGUUAGGUGUUUUAAUUGUAUCUGUGAACGCAUCUCAAUUUUUUUUUUCUGUUUGACUGUGAAUUUUCUUCAUUGAACUGGUUUGUUUGAGACUGCUGUUGUUAUAGUUUUAAGUUACGUCAGUCUUACUUUGGUCCUAACAUUUUUUUUCUGGGAAUAAUGAAAUGAGUUUCAUAUCCACCAAAGUGCAGAGGAAUCUAGAGAUACUGUGUAUAUACUUAUCAAUAAUGCACUUUUCUACAUUCUUAAGAGAUCAUAUUCCCAUAGGCAAUUACAGUUAAUUCAAAGCAACUGUAACACACACACACACACACACACACACACACAACUCUCUUUUCUCAGGGCUCUUGUCAAAAUAGGUAUGACCAUUACAAAUCAGAACUUGUGUAUUUUAUAGUAGCUAAUAAGAAUGCAGAAUUGACAAGCUAGUGAGCAUAUUUAAUUACUAUCAGGAAAAACUACAGUCAGAAAGUUCCCUUUAAUUUGCUAAUUAACCUAUCUUGAGUUACUGGUUUAAGCUUAUGUUUAGCUCAGGUCAUGUGUCCUGGAGAACAGAAAGCAUCUUCUAUUUAACAUUAUGUCAACUCUGCUGACUCUCAGAGUCAAGGAAAAACAGGAACAACUUUCACAAAACAUCUGUAAUGGAAGCAAAUGAAUCAAUACAUUUUUUUCUGUUGCUGUCACAGGGAGUUUUGCCAUUAACUUCAAUGGGAGUAGAAUGCAUUUUUCACAUGUGCUACUGAAUCAUGAUCAAUGUCUAAAUGUAGCUGAGGGCUUGGUUCCACCUAAACACAUAUAGGGAAUUUUACUCAAGUGAAUAAUUCCAUUUAAUUGGGACCUCAUGUAAAGAAGCAUUUUGGCCUUUAUUUUGCCACUGCAGAUUCAUUUAUGUACAAGUAUAAUACAAUAAAAGCAUACAUACAAAGCAAAUACUAAUACAUCUUGGAAUAUAAUGUAGAUUAACUGUUAAAUUGUCAUUGCUAAAAUCAGUGGCUUUAUGUUAAAAGUUUAAUAUUGUACCGUUUGCCAUUUAUUUCAACCCAUGCAGCUUAAAUUCUUCAGCUGUAACUGUAUACCUGAUUAGCUACAACCAUAUCAGGAAAUACAUUUGUGCUACAGCUGACUAUAUUUUGAUGCUCUUUAUGAAGUUAUACUGGUAAUAUUCACUUCAUGAUCCUGUAUCUGAAAAUGUUUUAACGCUUUUUCACUAUUCGCAUGAGCAAUAUUGCCUGCUGGCACAGUGCAGUCCUGCUGUCUUUGAAACACACGCCAACUGAAAAUGCAGAGUUUACUUUCUGUGGUUUGCAAACUUUUUCAGAGUACUUUAUAAUAAAGUGAGUCUUACAGAUAACCUCACCUCCUGAGGGCACUCUCAUAACAUCCUCUGGCAACUACUGUAGUGACUUAAAUGGAGAAACAAUAUUAGGCCUGACCAACAUUGCGUAUUUUGAAGCAUGAGGCCAGUAUGGAGCAGUGGAAGAAAGCUAGUGACACAUUAAGAAUUCAGUAAUUCAAAUGCAAAGGAAAUUGGAAGACUCCA
Molecule: long non-coding RNA, 12767 nt
Organism: Dromaius novaehollandiae (emu)
Lineage: Eukaryota; Metazoa; Chordata; Aves; Casuariiformes; Dromaiidae
Exons: 6
Source: RefSeq, a predicted model, not a curated record